GGAGAGAUGGCAGAGUGGUAAUGCAGCAGAUUGCUAAUCUGUCGACCUUAGGGUCGCCAGGGUUCGAGUCCCUGUCUCUCCGCUA
RNAcentral lists this transfer RNA (85 nucleotides) under Polaribacter butkevichii. RNAcentral describes it as "tRNA-Ser". It matches the Rfam family "tRNA". From Rfam's summary of the family: Transfer RNA (tRNA) molecules are approximately 80 nucleotides in length. Their secondary structure includes four short double-helical elements and three loops (D, anti-codon, and T loops). Lineage: Bacteria; Pseudomonadati; Bacteroidota; Flavobacteriia; Flavobacteriales; Flavobacteriaceae. The record is from RNAcentral. RNAcentral also lists the same sequence under 4 other names.